RNAcentral lists this ribosomal RNA (429 nucleotides) under Chloroflexota bacterium. RNAcentral's name for it is "Chloroflexi bacterium partial 16S ribosomal RNA". It matches the Rfam family "Bacterial small subunit ribosomal RNA", at positions 355 to 776 of the family's 1533-position model. Lineage: Bacteria; Bacillati; Chloroflexota. The record is from RNAcentral.
UGGGGAAUAUUGCACAAUGGGCGCAAGCCUGAUGCAGCCAUGCCGCGUGUGUGAAGAAGGCCUUCGGGUUGUAAAGCACUUUCAGCGGGGAGGAAGGCGUUAAGGUUAAUAACCUUGGCGAUUGACGUUACCCGCAGAAGAAGCACCGGCUAACUCCGUGCCAGCAGCCGCGGUAAUACGGAGGGUGCAAGCGUUAAUCGGAAUUACUGGGCGUAAAGCGCACGCAGGCGGUCUGUCAAGUCGGAUGUGAAAUCCCCGGGCUCAACCUGGGAACUGCAUUCGAAAGUGGCAGGCUAGAGUCUUGUAGAGGGGGGUAGAAUUCCAGGUGUAGCGGUGAAAUGCGUAGAGAUCUGGAGGAAUACCGGUGGCGAAGGCGGCCCCCUGGACAAAGACUGACGCUCAGGUGCGAAAGCGUGGGGAGCAAACAGG